This 103-nucleotide transfer RNA is filed under the name Thermosphaera aggregans DSM 11486. It matches the Rfam family "tRNA". From Rfam's summary of the family: Transfer RNA (tRNA) molecules are approximately 80 nucleotides in length. Their secondary structure includes four short double-helical elements and three loops (D, anti-codon, and T loops). Further hydrogen bonds mediate the characteristic L-shaped molecular structure. tRNAs have two regions of fundamental functional importance: the anti-codon, which is responsible for specific mRNA codon recognition, and the 3' end, to which the tRNAs corresponding amino acid is attached (by aminoacyl-tRNA synthetases). tRNAs cope with the degeneracy of the genetic code in two manners: having more than one tRNA (with a specific anti-codon) for a particular amino acid; and 'wobble' base-pairing, i.e. permitting non-standard base-pairing at the 3rd anti-codon position. The record is from Rfam by way of RNAcentral. Lineage: Archaea; Thermoproteati; Thermoproteota; Thermoprotei; Desulfurococcales; Desulfurococcaceae.
GCCGCCGUAGCUCAGCCCGGUGGAGCGCCGGCCUCGUAACGGCUAGAAAACACCGGAGUCGCUGGACAGCCGGUGGACGCGGGUUCAAAUCCCGCCGGCGGCU